UAAUAAGUGUUUUAUGGCACUUUUUAAAUCCAUACCCACCUUGUGUGCAAUGUCAGUCGAUCUUCUUCAUGGAGAUCGACCAAACAUCAACCUUUAUUUUUUAACUCUUUGUCUGAAAAAUAUUAUGAAUAAACAAUUCAAAAUA
RNAcentral lists this unclassified non-coding RNA (145 nucleotides) under soil metagenome. Its description in RNAcentral is "partial internal transcribed spacer 1". The record is from RNAcentral.